Molecule: non-coding RNA, 601 nt
Organism: Carassius gibelio (silver crucian carp)
Lineage: Eukaryota; Metazoa; Chordata; Actinopteri; Cypriniformes; Cyprinidae
Source: the annotation of a RefSeq genome assembly
AUGGGCAUCUCAAUAGCAACAGUGUUCCUUGACGAUGGUGCCUCGUUUAAUCGAAGUGUUGUCCCUGUAGUGAUAUCAGCUCGUCCGUCGUCUCCUCCGUCCCUGCUCCUGCUGGCUCCUGCUGCUCCUCUGCUCUCUGAGGGAGAUGUCAGUGUGGUGUGUGUGGCUCAGGGCUUUUACCCUGACAGUGUCACCGUGUCCUGGUCUGAGGACAGCAGCGGUGUGACGGGGGACGAGGUGCAGACGGCUCCGUAUCAGCGUCAGGCCGAUGGCACCUUCUCCCAGACCAGUGUCCUGAAGCUCAGUAAGCAGCGCUGGAGCUCUGGGAGAACCUACACGUGCAGCCUGAGUCACCCGGCGCUUUCCACACCGCUGAGCCAGAGCACCAGCCUCAACCAGUGUGUGUAGACCGAUCACACACAGCUGUGUUACAUACAGAGAGAAAUAUAUAUAAUGCAUCUCUGUGAACACAACUUGUCUUUAAUAAUGAGUGUGUUGUCCAUUUAAACAAGUUCUUCUGUUAUUGUGAAAAGAGUUUCGUGGAGCUCUUCUUUGUUGCUUUCUCUAGUAAAUAAAGCAUUUAAAUGUUUCAAAUUAAAAA